UGGGGAAUAUUGGACAAUGGGCGAAAGCCUGAUCCAGCCAUGCCGCGUGUGUGAAGAAGGUCUUCGGAUUGUAAAGCACUUUAAGUUGGGCGGAAGGGCAGUAAGCGAAUACCUUGCUGUUUUGACGUUACCGACAGAAUAAGCACCGGCUAACUCUGUGCCAGCAGCCGCGGUAAUACAGAGGGUGCAAGCGUUAAUCGGAAUUACUGGGCGUAAAGCGCGCGUAGGUGGUUCGUUAAGUUGAAUGUGAAAGCCCCGGGCUCAACCUGGGAAAUGCAUCCAAAACUGGCGAGCUAGAGUAGGGCAGAGGGUGGUGGAAUUUCCUGUGUAGCGGUGAAAUGCGUAGAUAUAGGAAGGAACACCAGUGGCGAAGGAGACGACCUGGGCUCAUACUGACACUGAGGUGCGAAAGCGUGGGGAGCAAACAGG
RNAcentral lists this ribosomal RNA (429 nucleotides) under Pseudomonadota bacterium. RNAcentral describes it as "Proteobacteria bacterium partial 16S ribosomal RNA". It matches the Rfam family "Bacterial small subunit ribosomal RNA", at positions 355 to 776 of the family's 1533-position model. Lineage: Bacteria; Pseudomonadati; Pseudomonadota. The record is from RNAcentral.